Molecule: ribosomal RNA, 324 nt
Filed under: uncultured eukaryote
Lineage: Eukaryota
Description: partial 18S ribosomal RNA
Rfam family: Eukaryotic small subunit ribosomal RNA
Source: RNAcentral
CCCUUAGAUGUUCUGGGCCGCACGCGCGCUACACUGAUGCAUUCAACGAGUUUCUUCCUGGUUCGAGAGGAAUGGGUAACCUUUUGAAAGUGCAUCGUGAUAGGGAUAGACUAUUGCAAUUAUUGGUCUUCAACGAGGAAUUCCUAGUAGACGUAGUUCAUCAGACUGCAUCGAUUACGUCCCUGCCCUUUGUACACACCGCCCGUCGCUCCUACCGAUUGAAUGCUCAGGUGAGCCAUUCGGACUUUCAUCAUGCUGGUUUCCAGUUUUGAUGAAGGAAAGUCUUGCGAACCUUAUCAUUUAGAGGAAGGAGAAGUCGUAACA